AUGGGGCGAGUGGUGGUUUGCUUCUGUUUUGGCGGAGACCAUUGGCAAUUCAACUCAGAGAUUUUUUUUCGAAAAGGGGGAAUUCAACUCAGAGAUAAGGAUAAAAAUUUCAUAGAUGUUACCGUGGGAGAUGGCACGGAUGAGGUUUGGAGGUUUACACGGUUUUAUGGUGAGCCAAAGUGGGAAGAUAAACAUCUGUCAUGGUCAUGUUUGCGUGAUCUACAUCAACGAAUAAAACUCCCGUGGUUGAUAGCCGGGGAUUUUAAUGAGAUCUUAUACUCCCACGAGAAGGAGGGCGGUGCACCGAAGCCAAUGCACAUGAUGCAAAAUUUCAGAGAUGCCCUUGUUGAUUGCGAAUUGGAGGACAUGGGUUGUAGUGGUGAUUUAUGUACUUGGAGGAGGAGGAGGCUUAGAGAACGCCUCGACAGAGCGGUAUGCAAUGGUCAGUUCCAUGGGCUUUUUCCUGAAGCAAAGAUUACAAAUGCUGCACACACCAAGUCUGAUCACAGA
Molecule: ribosomal RNA, 510 nt
Filed under: Triticum aestivum (bread wheat)
Lineage: Eukaryota; Viridiplantae; Streptophyta; Magnoliopsida; Poales; Poaceae
Description: partial small subunit ribosomal RNA
Source: RNAcentral